UGGAGUAAAAGGCUAUGGNUCAACCAUAGUGUGCUCUGGAAACUGUNUGACUUGAGUGCAGAAGGGGAGAGUGGAAUUCCAUGUGUAGCGGUGAAAUGCGUAGAUAUAUGGAGGANCACCAGUGGCGAAAGCGGCUCUCUGGUCUGUCACUGACGCUGAGGCUNGAAAGCGUGGGUAGCGAACAGGAUUAGAUACCCUGGUAGUNCACGCCGUAAACGAUGAGUGCUAGGUGUUAGGCCCUUUCCGGGGCUUAGUGCCGGAGCUAACGCAAUAAGCACUCCGCCUGGGGAGUACGACCGCAAGGUUGAAACUCAAAGGAAUUGACGGGGGCCCGCACAAGCGGUGGAGCAUGUGGUUUAAUUCGAAGCAACGCGAAGAACCUUACCAGGUCUUGACAUCCCGAUGCUAUUCUUAGAGAUAGGAAGUUACUUCGGUACAUCGGAGACAGGUGGUGCAUGGUUGUCGUCAGCUCGUGUCGUGAGAUGUUGGGUUAAGUCCCGCAACGAGCGCAACCCUUAUUGUUAGUUGCCAUCAUUAAGUUGGGCACUCUAGCGAGACUGCCGGUAAUAAACCGGAGGAAGGUGGGGAUGACGUCAAAUCAUCAUGCCCCUUAUGACCUGGGCUACACACGUGCUACAAUGGUCGGUACAACGAGUUGCGAGCCGGUGACGGCAAGCUAAUCUCUGAAAGCCGAUCUCAGUUCGGAUUGGAGGCUGCAACUCGCCUCCAUGAAGUCGGAAUCGCUAGUAAUCGCGGAUCAGCACGCCGCGGUGAAUACGUUCCCGGGCCUUGUACACACCGCCCGUCACACCACGAGAGUUUGUAACACCCGAAGUCGGUGAGGUAACCUUUUAGGGGCC
This 860-nucleotide ribosomal RNA is filed under the name uncultured bacterium. RNAcentral's name for it is "bacterial SSU rRNA". It matches the Rfam family "Bacterial small subunit ribosomal RNA", at positions 590 to 1450 of the family's 1533-position model. The record is from RNAcentral.